AUUCCAGCUCCAAGAGCGUAUAUUAAAGUUGUUGCAGUUAAAAAGCUCGUAGUUGGAUUUCUGGUCUAAUGCGCCUGGCCCGCUGCCGUUAGGUAUGUGAGUGCCGGUGCGCGUUUACCAUCCUUCCAGAGAACACUUCUACCAUUUAUUUGGACGGAUGUUGUCUUCUGGAUCUUUUACUUUGAAAAAAUUAGAGUGUUUAAAGCAGGCCUUUGCUGUGAAUACAUUAGCAUGGAAUAAUAAUCUAGGACUUCGGUUCUAUUUUGUUGGUUUCGAACACCGGAGUAAUGAUUAACAGGGACAGUCAGGGGCACUCGUAUUCCGCCGAGAGAGGUGAAGUUCUCAGACCAGCGGAAGACGAACCACUGCGAAAGCAUUUGCCAGGGAUGUUUUCAUUA
Molecule: ribosomal RNA, 398 nt
Filed under: Prymnesiophyceae sp.
Lineage: Eukaryota; Haptophyta
Description: partial small subunit ribosomal RNA
Rfam family: Eukaryotic small subunit ribosomal RNA
Source: RNAcentral